This 465-nucleotide ribosomal RNA is filed under the name uncultured Klebsiella sp. Its description in RNAcentral is "bacterial SSU rRNA". It matches the Rfam family "Bacterial small subunit ribosomal RNA", at positions 338 to 795 of the family's 1533-position model. The record is from RNAcentral. Lineage: Bacteria; Pseudomonadati; Pseudomonadota; Gammaproteobacteria; Enterobacterales; Enterobacteriaceae.
CCUACGGGUGGCAGCAGUGGGGAAUAUUGCACAAUGGGCGCAAGCCUGAUGCAGCCAUGCCGCGUGUGUGAAGAAGGCCUUCGGGUUGUAAAGCACUUUCAGCGGGGAGGAAGGCGUUAAGGUUAAUAACCUUGGCGAUUGACGUUACCCGCAGAAGAAGCACCGGCUAACUCCGUGCCAGCAGCCGCGGUAAUACGGAGGGUGCAAGCGUUAAUCGGAAUUACUGGGCGUAAAGCGCACGCAGGCGGUCUGUCAAGUCGGAUGUGAAAUCCCCGGGCUCAACCUGGGAACUGCAUUCGAAACUGGCAGGCUAGAGUCUUGUAGAGGGGGGUAGAAUUCCAGGUGUAGCGGUGAAAUGCGUAGAGAUCUGGAGGAAUACCGGUGGCGAAGGCGGCCCCCUGGACAAAGACUGACGCUCAGGUGCGGAAGCGUGGGGAGCAAACAGGAUUAGAUACCCCUGUAGUC